ACAGGUUGAAGACCUACCAAUCAAAUAAAACAAAUGGUAACAUUUUCCCAGUCUUUGGGAUUUGGGAGUCUUCAGCUUUCUUGGUAUCGUAGUUGUAGUUUUUUUUUUUUUGCUUUCCUUGUUACUUUAAAAAUCGAAUUUACUCGUUCAGACUACAUCGUGAAUUUGAAUUUAUUUGCGCACAUGUUUUAUUUUUCAAAUAAAAACACAUCUCUCAGAAAAACGUUAACAUUAUGCGGGUUUUAUGAACAUUGUUUUUUUUUAAAAAAAAUCAAGUUGUAUUGCCAUGAAAAUCUGCUGAGAGGGAAGUAAGGCCCCUCGCCAGUUUUCGUUUUGCUCAGGUGAAACAGUUUUAAGUCCAAGAUAGCUUUGGUAACUGCUAAUAUACUACAGUAUCCGUUUUAAAAGACUUUGUACAGCAUUCCACACGUUUGCUGCAGUGGCAGAAACACAAUUGCUUAUUGUGUAUCUCUGUGACUUAUAAGGGACGGAUCUAGCAAUUAAAACAUUAUAUUUCCAUAUGCAUUAUUUUGAUGUAAGUUUCUCAUUGGUAUAUAUUAUCAACAAAUACGUAAACAUAACACAUUUAAUAAACAGAUCACUACCUUUUUAGAUAAAAAGAAACCUCCUCAAUGACUUGAAAACUAUAAAAAAAACAGUCGACUAAAAAUUAAAUUUACAGGUCCAGUUAAAAGAAGCUGCUACUGAGAGUGUGUAUGUGACCAGAGAAUCCGUUAAUACACUGGUACAGAACUAUUUCACUCAGAUAAAUGACAUCACAGAAGCCUUGGAACAUGAUAAACAGCAGCAGUUCAGACGUCUAGAAGAGUGGUUUUACAAAAGAAAACAAGCCUGACCGAGUAUGACUUGAAUCACGAAGCAACACUUGAGUUUCGAAGGAUAAAGAUGUCUGCUUUGGAUCAUAUGGAAAAACACCUUGAUGGACAACUGCAGGAAGUGGAGACCUUCAUGACACAGCUUGCAGCACUCGCCAGAGUUCCUCUGGGGAGGGCAAAGUCUUACACUAAGAACAAUUCAGGUAGAUACUGGUAGCCAUGGUUUCACUCAUCCACACUGCACACUGUAAUGUUACAGAACUAGCAAGAAAUAACAAAGGGACAAGAAAAAGCUCAGAAAAAUAUGAACAUACCUGUGACUCAUUUCUAGUUCAUACAUUUAUAUUAAAUGUUGCUUCUAGAAGAGCGGUGCACUAGAGAGAAUGCUUUGAGAAUCUGGCUGAAUGUGAAAUACACUGGAUGACAGAAGAGCUGUUUUCCUAUAGUAUGCAGUUGAUAAUAAUCAAGAAGAUUGGGUGACUUGAGUACUUAGCUGUAAAGUUGUACAGUUGAGCUCAUUUUGUUCUGUAAAAAGAAAACAAAAUACAGGAAGAUAUCUCUGUAUAACAUGACAUCCCCUUAUGUAUAUUCAUUUAAAUUUAGGAAUGGGUUGUUUAAUUGAGCUAUAAUGAAUGAACGUGUGGCUAUUGAAUAGUAGUUAGUGCCACUGUAGUUUUCUUUACAUUUAAACAGUUUGUAAAUUAUUUUAAUUAUCAAACUGUUUCCAUCUUUUUUUUCUAAAAGAAAAAUAAUACCACAAUGUACAAUGCAAUCUGUAAACUAUCUAUUAAGUAAAGUAAAAGUAAAAUAUAUAUUUUUGCAGAAUACAAAAGAAUAUCAACAAUAGAAAAGACCUCAGAUCCUAAACCAGCCAAGUAACAAGUUAAUUAAAAAGUGCUCAGCACACACAUUGGCUGAUCUUGGUCUAAUAUCGGUUGUGGACCAUGGGGAAGAUCCCUAAAAAAACUCUUAGGACAGUUUGGAAACCACUUUUGUAUUGCAAUACAAAUACAGAUACGCUUUCUAUCCACUGAAAGUAAAGGUCAUGUGACAUUUUGUAAUUUCCCUACAAUCAUCAAGCAGCUUUGAAAUGAAGGUAUUUAUUCAGGUAAAAUUGGACCUUGGGAUAUUUGUAAAGCAAUUAAGUUUCUAUAACACCCAUGCAUCAUGGGUAUUAUGAAAAUGUUAAGUGAACACAUACAUUUUGUAUUCUAUAAAUAUACACCAUGUUGUACAACACCAUAUUGAAUCUUUAGAAUUAAAUAAGGUACAUGUUUUAUGUUUGGUGGGUAAUAUCAUGUUUCUAAUAUAAAACCAGUUCAUACUGUACAGGUUUUCUUUUCAUAAAUAUUCACAUUAAGGCUGUAGGUUUGGUCAUCUAGUCCAGAGAACCAGUAGAUCUAAACUUCAUUUCUUUUUUCUCUCUCAAGAAGUUCUUUAGCUCCAUCUAUUGCAAACAAUGUAUACAGACCAGCAAAGGGUUAUGGUACAGUAGCAUUGGAAUUCAUUACUUUUAUGAAGUUUUACGAAGUGUUUGGUUUUUUAUCAUGAAAGUGAUUUUCUACCUCAUUUGCACUGUUUUCUUUCUGAUUACUAAUUAUUGCUUUGAAACCAAUGUGCUUACCUCUUCCUAGCCUUAUUCUCUUUAAUCGUGCUGAGAAUCUUGGGUUUUCACUUCCUUUUUUACAAAUACAACCCUAUGAAUAAUUUGCUGCAUUCUGGUUCCUUUUCUGUAGGUCACCUGGUCUAAUUGCACACCUUUGUAUUAAAUGUAAAAAAAAAACAACCCGACAACCCAUGAGGUGAUUGGGUUCCAGGAAGAAGCACAUUUAACCUGUUAGGUUUGUCUUUUUUAAGUAGGUUUUAAAACGUUUGUCAGCACACAUUUAACAUUUUUGCUAAGGCAGGUAGAUAAAACAGAAGGUUAUGGUGUGUUUUUUGUUUUAUUAUUAUUAUUAUUAUUAUUAUUAUUAUUAUUAUUAUUAUUAUUAUUAUUAUUAUUAUUGGUAAAUGUUUAUUAAAAUAAGGCAUUGCUGUUGUAUCUGACUGUUUAAUCAUUCUGUUUCACUAACAUGCCAUUGGGUUAAAUUUGCUUUAUAGUUGGGUGUUUUUACAUAUGUACGUAUUAAAGCAUUAAAAGAAACAUAUACUUUGCAUUUCACAGCAUUCAUUACUUCAGUACAUUUUUUCUGCCCUUGUUUUUAGAGAGGUACUCCCGCAGAAAAGAUUCAUUUAAAUCAAAGCUUAGUACAGUUGCCAGUUUGCACAAAUAAACAGUUUCAGUAAUUAAAACAAUGGCUAGAGGGCUUACUUUUUUUAAUCAUAUUUUUCAUGGUUUGUUUCACAAUGUUGGAGUUUUCAUUUUUAAAUCACCAGACAACAGUAAUUAAACAUAAGUAAAAAUGUAGGUGAAUACAAAGAAAUAAUCGGUAAAAAAAGAAAAAAAAUGUGA
This is a long non-coding RNA of Acipenser ruthenus (sterlet), 3288 nucleotides long. RefSeq lists it as uncharacterized. The transcript is spliced from 3 exons. Lineage: Eukaryota; Metazoa; Chordata; Actinopteri; Acipenseriformes; Acipenseridae. The record is from RefSeq and is a predicted model, not a curated record.